RNAcentral lists this non-coding RNA (27 nucleotides) under Rattus norvegicus (Norway rat). Lineage: Eukaryota; Metazoa; Chordata; Mammalia; Rodentia; Muridae. The record is from RNAcentral.
UGAUGCCAUUUUGCUGCCACUUCUCAG